GUCAUAAGCUCAAAGCACCAAAUUAAAAAAACCAAAAUCUAAGAAAACCCAUCAUAAUUUCAUCCAUUCCAAACAAUUUUAUUUAAUUACACUAAUAAGUAACAACACAGCAAUCUGAAAAAAUAAAUAAUCUUUCCAUUUUUUGGUGAAUUUUAAAGAGAUCAUAUAUUCUUUAACCACUGUCAAAAAUGGAGUUCAGAAUGAAACAGAAAAGAGACAAGGAAUUGAAAGACUACCCACUGUCAAAAGAGGGCGACGGCGUCUAGAGGAGUAAGCCCAUCCCACGGGGAUGAAGAGGAACGACCAAAAUGCACCAAUCGGAACCUACAGCACUAGGCUUCGUUAGUCGUUGGAAAGCGAAAGACACAGCAACGAUGUCCAAUGGGAUCGGUUAGAACCGCAGUGAAAAAGAUGAAAGCAUGGGAUGACAUAAAACGUUGCCUUAAACGAAAUCUACGGCAUUGAUGAUGCAGCAGGCUUCAACCGACGUUUGAGAGCGGCAAACACGACGGUGGCGUCAACCGGAAUGGGUUGGAAGGAAGGCCGACAGGAAUUGGUUUAGACGACGAACGGGGAACGAAGGCUUAGGGAAGAAAUGUUUUUUUUUUAACCUACAACUUUUUUUUUUUAGCUUUAGUGAAUUUAUUUGAUUACCUAUAACCGGUAAAUCUCGGUUUUGCUUUUAAUUUAAGCUUUAUCCUCCUCCUGUUUUUUUUUUUUUUUUUCAAUCUAAAGCCUCCUGCUUUGAAGCUUAUGGUAAGCUUUUUUUAGCUUUCUGUAGAAUUUCCCCAUUUUGUCACAUUUUCGUUUUAUGUUCUUUAAAAGCAGAGUGCCGAAGAGAGAAAGAAGGAUCUGAGAAGGGAAAACACAGAGUUUAAAAAAAAAAAAAAGAAGCUUUAAAACAAUGGCGAAUUACCAUUUCGUUUACAAAGACGUGGAAGGUGCUUCCACUCAAUGGGACGAUAUUCAAAGAAAGCUUGGUAAUUUACCCCCAAAGCCACCCGCUUUCAAGCCUCCCCCUUUCGAACCCGCACCCGACCCGGAUUCUGCCCCCAAGGACAAGUCUUGGAUCGAUGCCAAGACUGAAGAUGAACUUGAUGAACUCGAAGAUGAUCUCGAUGAUGAUCGCUUCCUUGAAGAAUACAGGAAGAAGAGGCUAGCUGAGAUGAAGGAAGCAGCUAAGGUUUCAAAAUACGGAUAGGUGAUGCAGAUUUCAGGAUCUGAUUUCGUGCGCGAGGCUUCACAAGCUCCUCAAGAUGUCUGGAUGGUUAUCUUUCUUUACAAAGAAGGAUUCCCAGAGUGUGGGCUGCUUCUGCGGUGUUUGGAUGAAUUGGCAAUUAAAUAUCCUGCAACGAAGUUUGUCAAGAUAAUAUCUACUGAAUGCAUUCCUAGCUACCCAGAUCGUAAUCUUUCGACUCUCUUGGUGUAUCACAACGGAGCAGUGAAAGCAAAUUAUGUUGCCUUGCAUAGUUUUGGCCGGAGAUGCACACCUGAAGGUGUGGCCUUAGUUCUGUGUAAGUCAGAUCCUGUAUUAAAUGAUGGUCAAAGUGGGAGUGAGCAAGCUGUUCUUGAAGGAAUUCGAAGGCAGUUUAUCGAGAAAGUUGUUACGGAGCAUGAAGAUGACGAUGAGGGGGGAUCUUCAAGUGAUUAGAUGUUCCUACAUUCAUUCAGUUUCUGUUGGAUUUGGGAAAGACAAUUCUAAUGUCUGGUUUCCUGCUUCUUCUUUUGAAGUUUUCUUUGGUGAUUUUGAUGUUGUGUCAAUAUAUUAUUACUCUCGACUAUGGUUUGACAUCCAUUGAUGAAAUUUUGUGUUAUCACUUUUACCUUUGGGGCUCACUAAUCUUGAUGUAUAUUAAUUUAGUGAGUAAAAUAUUAUGUUUCGAUGUAUAAUUUUGGUGUUAUUGUUAUUUUUAAAAAUAUGUAGUUACAAAUAUGAGAUUAAAUAGAAAAUAUUAAUUAA
This is an RNA transcript of Gossypium arboreum, 1960 nucleotides long. RefSeq lists it as uncharacterized. Lineage: Eukaryota; Viridiplantae; Streptophyta; Magnoliopsida; Malvales; Malvaceae. The transcript has 4 exons. The record is from RefSeq and is a predicted model, not a curated record.